RNAcentral lists this ribosomal RNA (1278 nucleotides) under Thecla betulae coreana. RNAcentral describes it as "partial 16S ribosomal RNA". The record is from RNAcentral. Lineage: Eukaryota; Metazoa; Arthropoda; Insecta; Lepidoptera; Lycaenidae.
AAAUUAAAAAUUAAUGAUUUAAAUUUAAUAAAAGUAAUUUUAAUAUUAAAAAAAAUAAUGGGGGUUAAAGUAUUUUAAUAGAAAAAAUUAUAAAAUUUAUAGUUAAUUAGUAUAGUGAUAGAAUUUUGAAAUAUAUGAAAAUUAAUUUUAAUAAAAGUAAAUUUAAUUUAUUGUAUCUUGUGUAUCAGAGUUUAUUAAAUAAAAUUUUUAAAUAAAAAUAUCUCGAAUUUAAAAGAGUUAAUUAAUUAUUAAAGUUAAUGUUAAAUAAUUAUUUUAAAUAAUUAAUUAGAAAUGAAAUGUUAAUCGUUUUUAAAUAUAUCUAGUUAUUUUAGAAAAAAAUUUAAUUUUAAAUUUAUUAAGAUAUUUAUAUUAAAUAUGAAUAAUAUAAAAAAUAAUAAAUUUUAUAAUUUAAGGGAUAAGCUUUAAAUUAAAAAAUUAUAAUAAAAUAAUAAAAAAUAAAAUUUUUAGAAUUUAAAUUGUUUAAAAAUUAAAGUUUAUUAUAAAAAUUUUUAUUACAAAUAAUAUUUAAAAUUAAAUUUAAUUUUUUAUAAAAAUAUAAUUUUUAAUAAUAAAAAUUUAAAAAUAAUGAUAAAAUUAGUAUAAUAAUAAGAUAAAUGUUAAAUUAAAAAAUAAUAUUAUAAUAAUUUAAGUAAAAGGAAUUCGGCAAAUAUUUAUAUUCACCUGUUUAACAAAAACAUGUCUUUUUGAUGAAUAAUUUAAAGUCUAAUCUGCCCACUGAUAUUAUAUAUUAAAGGGCUGCAGUAUAUUGACUGUACAAAGGUAGCAUAAUCAUUAGUCUUUUAAUUGGAGACUUGUAUGAAGGAUUUAAUGAGAUAUAGACUGUCUCUUAUUUAUUUUUAAAAUUUAAUUUUUUAGUUAAAAAGCUAAAAUAAAUUUAAAAGACGAGAAGACCCUAUAGAGUUUUAUAAUUAUUAAUAUAUUAUAUUUAUAUAAAAUUUUAAAAUUAUAUGUUAGUAAUUAUUAUAUUGGGGUGAUAAAAAAAUUAAUAAAACUUUUUUAAAAUUAUAACAAAAAUAAAUGAUUUAAUGAUCCAUAAUUAAUGAUUAAAAGAAAAAAUUACCUUAGGGAUAACAGCGUAAUAUUUUUUUUUAGUACAAAUAAAAAAAAAAGUUUGCGACCUCGAUGUUGGAUUAAGAUAAAAUUUAAAUGCAAAAGUUUAAAAUUUUGAUCUGUUCGAUCAUUAAAAUCUUACAUGAUCUGAGUUCAAACCGGUGUGAGCCAGGUUGGUUUCUAUCUUUAAAUAAUUAAAAUAUUUUA